AAUAUUGGACAAUGGUCGGGAGAUUGAUCCAGCCAUGCCGCGUGCAGGAUGACUGCCCUAUGGGUUGUAAACUGCUUUUAUACGUGAAGAAACCUAUUUACGAGUAGAUAGCUGACGGUACCGUAAGAAUAAGGACCGGCUAACUCCGUGCCAGCAGCCGCGGUAAUACGGAGGGUCCGAGCGUUAUCCGGAAUCAUUGGGUUUAAAGGGUCCGUAGGCGGGCCGUUAAGUCAGGGGUGAAAGUCUGCGGCUCAACCGUAGAAUUGCCUUUGAUACUGGCGAUCUUGAGUCGUUGUGGAGUUGCCGGAACAUGUGGUGUAGCGGUGAAAUGCAUAGAUAUUACAUAGAACACCGAUUGCGAAGGCAGGUCACUAACCAUAUACUGACGCUGAUGGACGAAAGCGUGGGGAGCGAACUGGAUUAGAUACCCUGGUAGUCCACGCCGUA
Molecule: ribosomal RNA, 447 nt
Filed under: uncultured marine bacterium
Lineage: Bacteria
Description: bacterial SSU rRNA
Rfam family: Bacterial small subunit ribosomal RNA
Source: RNAcentral